UAUGUAAGCCAGGCUGGCCAGGAACUCCCCAGAAACCCCCUGCUUCUACUUCCUGCAGUUGGGAUUACAUGAGAGACUGAUUACAUCAUGUCAUAUUUUGACAAUGGAGAGGACUUUGGAGGUGACAGCGAUGACAAUAUGGAUGAGGCCAUAUACUGAAAACCUGGGCCAUACACUGAAAACCUGAGACUAUAUAUCAUUCUUGAUUUGAGAUACAGGAACUAAAUAUCCUAUUUAAUUAGGGUUUUUCCUGUUUUUGUUAUUGUUUUUGAGAGAGGAUCUCAUGUAGCUCAGGCUGGCCUUGACCUCUUGAUCCUCCCACCCCCACCUCCCAAGUCUUGAGAUUCCAGGGCUGCACCACCACACCAGACUCACCAGGAUUUAAGGAAAAAUUGUUGAGGAAAAAUUAUUUAGUCAGAAUCCAGGUGGCCUGUGUGAUCCCUGGGGUCGUGAUGCACAGCACCUGACAGUUUAGGGGACACUUGGGGUAGAAAUAAUCAAGAGGAGUAAGGCCUGUUUUAUAUUUUUAAAUAAAAUGUUUGUACCUGUC
RNAcentral lists this long non-coding RNA (550 nucleotides) under Rattus norvegicus (Norway rat). RNAcentral describes it as "long non-coding RNA NONRATT016682". The record is from RNAcentral. Lineage: Eukaryota; Metazoa; Chordata; Mammalia; Rodentia; Muridae.